GCGUCAUGUGGCUGGCCAUCCUCCUGGCCUCGGUGCUGGGCUUCGCCAUCUACCGCUGGUUCGCCGCCCGCGACAAGGAGGAGACGCUGCCCCUAGAGGAUGGGUGGUGGGGGCCGGGAGCCCGGCCCGCGGCCGCCGAAGACCAGAGCAUCCGGCCUUUCAAGGUGGAAACGUCCGAUGAGGAGAUCAAGGAUUUGCACCAGAGGAUCGACAAGUUUCGCUGGACCCCACCUUUGGAGGGCAGCCGCUUCCACUACGGGUUCAACUCCAGCUACCUGAAGAAAGUCGUCUCCUACUGGCGGAAUGACUUUGACUGGAAGAAGCAGGUAGAGCUCCUCAACCAGUACCCUCACUUCAAGACGACAAUCGAAGGGCUGGACAUCCACUUCAUCCACGUGAAGCCCCCCCAGGCGCCCGCAGGCCGCAGCCCGAAGCCCUUGAUGAUGGUGCACGGCUGGCCCGGCUCCUUCUUCGAGUUCUACAAGAUCAUCCCACUGCUCACGGACCCCGGGAAGCAUGGCCUCGGUGACGAGCACAUUUUCGAAGUCAUCUGCCCUUCCAUUCCCGGCUACGGCUUCUCCCAGGCCUCCAGCAAGAAAGGCCUCAAUUCUGUGGUCACCGCCAGGAUCUUCUACAAGCUGAUGCUGCGGCUGGGCUUUCAGAAAUUCUACAUUCAAGGAGGGGACUGGGGGUCCCUGAUCUGCACCAACAUGGCCCAGCUGGCGCCGAGCCACGUGAAGGGCCUGCACCUGAACAUGGCUUUCGUUGUAAGAAAUUUUGAAACCCUGACGCUGCUCCUGGGACAGCGCUUUGGGCGCUUCCUGGGCUACACGGAGAGGGACGUGGAGCUGCUGUACCCCGUCAAGGAGAAGGUGUUCCACAGUGUCAUGAGGGAGAGCGGGUACCUGCACAUCCAGGCCACCAAGCCUGACACUGUGGGCUGCGCUCUGAACGACUCUCCUGUGGGCCUGGCGGCUUAUAUCCUGGAGAAGUUCUCCACCUGGACGGAUUCAAGCUUCCGAGACCUGGAGGACGGCGGCCUGGAGAGGAAGUUCACCCUGGACGAGCUGCUGACCAACAUCAUGCUGUACUGGACCACAGGCUCCAUCGUCUCCUCCCAGCGCUACUACAAGGAGAACCUGGGCCAGGGCCUAAUGGUCCACCCGCACGAACGGAUGAAGGUCUUCGUGCCCACCGGCUUUGCUGCCUUCCCUUCUGAGUUGCUGCACCUCCCUGAGAAGUGGGUGAGGAUCAAGUACCCCAAACUCCUAACCUACUCCUACAUGGCUGCCGGGGGCCACUUUGCCGCCUUUGAGGAGCCCAGGCUGCUCGCCCAGGACAUCCGCAAGUUCGUGGCGAUGGUGGAGCAGCAGUGACACCCACGGGGCCUGGCCGCCCCGGAGGCCCCGCCCACCCGCGGCCCCGCCCACAGGGCCCCGCCGCCCCCCGAGGCCCCGCCCACCCGCAGCCCCGCCCACCCGCAGCCCCGCCCACCGCCGCUGACUGACAGGGCCUGGCAGCCCUACCCAAGCUGCUUAGGGAGCCGCUCAGGAAGGAGUCCCAGCCACCCCGGCCGCCUCCACGCCAGCCCCAGCGCGUGCUCAGCUUUGGUAAUAAAUGAUUUCACUUGUAA
Perognathus longimembris pacificus (Pacific pocket mouse) is the source of this 1633-nucleotide RNA transcript. It is a transcript of the gene named epoxide hydrolase 1, with no coding region annotated. The record is from RefSeq and is a predicted model, not a curated record. NCBI's taxonomy places the organism in Eukaryota, Metazoa, Chordata, Mammalia, Rodentia, Heteromyidae. The transcript has 10 exons.